RNAcentral lists this ribosomal RNA (253 nucleotides) under uncultured bacterium. Its description in RNAcentral is "partial 16S ribosomal RNA". It matches the Rfam family "Bacterial small subunit ribosomal RNA", at positions 524 to 776 of the family's 1533-position model. The record is from RNAcentral.
UACGGGGGGAGCAAGCGUUGUUCGGAUUUACUGGGCGUAAAGGGCGCGUAGGCGGCGCAACAAGUCACUUGUGAAAUCUCCGGGCUUAACCCGGAGCGGCCAAGUGAUACUGUCGUGCUAGAGUGCGGAAGGGGCUACUGGAAUUCUCGGUGUAGCGGUGAAAUGCGUAGAUAUCGAGAGGAACACCUGCGGCGAAGGCGGGUUGCUGGGCCGACACUGACGCUGAUGAGCGAAAGCCAGGGGAGCGAACGGG